GAUGAAGAACGUAGCGAAAUACGAUAAGUAAUGUGAAUUGCAGAAUUCAGUGAAUCAUCGAAUCUUUGAACGCACAUUGCGCCCCUUGGUAUUCCGAGGGGCAUGCCUGUUCGAGCGUCAUUAUAACCCCUCAAGCUCAGCUUGGUGUUGGGGCCUGCUGCACUGGCAGCCCUUAAAAUCAGUGGCGGCGCCAUCUGGCUCUAAGCGUAGUAAUUCUUCUCGCUAUGGAGUCCUGGUGGAUGCUUGCCAUCAACCCCCAAUUUUUCUAUGGUUGACCUCGGAUCAGGUAGGGAUACCCGCUGAACUUAAGCAUAUCAAUAAGCGGAGGA
RNAcentral lists this unclassified non-coding RNA (329 nucleotides) under soil metagenome. RNAcentral's name for it is "partial contains 5.8S ribosomal RNA, internal transcribed spacer 2, and large subunit ribosomal RNA". The stretch from base 1 to 120 matches the Rfam family "5.8S ribosomal RNA", at positions 35 to 154 of the family's 154-position model. The record is from RNAcentral.